RNAcentral lists this ribosomal RNA (691 nucleotides) under uncultured Alphaproteobacteria bacterium. Its description in RNAcentral is "bacterial SSU rRNA". It matches the Rfam family "Bacterial small subunit ribosomal RNA", at positions 550 to 1241 of the family's 1533-position model. The record is from RNAcentral. Lineage: Bacteria; Pseudomonadati; Pseudomonadota; Alphaproteobacteria.
AUUACUGGGCUUAAAGAGUUCGUAGGUGGUUGAAAAAGUUGGUGGUGAAAUCCCAGAGCUUAACUCUGGAACUGCCAUCAAAACUUUUCAGCUAGAGUAUGAUAGAGGAAAGCAGAAUUUCUAGUGUAGAGGUGAAAUUCGUAGAUAUUAGAAAGAAUACCAAUUGCGAAGGCAGCUUUCUGGAUCAUUACUGACACUGAGGAACGAAAGCAUGGGUAGCGAAGAGGAUUAGAUACCCUCGUAGUCCAUGCCGUAAACGAUGUGUGUUAGACGUUGGAAAUUUAUUUUCAGUGUCGCAGCGAAAGCGAUAAACACACCGCCUGGGGAGUACGACCGCAAGGUUAAAACUCAAAUGAAUUGACGGGGACCCGCACAAGUAGUGGAGCAUGUGGUUUAAUUCGAAGAUACGCGCAGAACCUUACCAACACUUGACAUGUUCGUCGCGACUUUAAGAGAUUAAAGUUUUCGGUUCGGCCGGGCGAAACACAGGUGCUGCAUGGCUGUCGUCAGCUCGUGUCGUGAGAUGUUGGGUUAAGUCCCGCAACGAGCGCAACCCUCACUUUUAGUUGCCAUCAUUAAGUUGGGCACUCUGAAAGAACUGCCAGUGAUAAGCUGGAGGAAGGUGGGGAUGACGUCAAGUCCUCAUGGCCCUUACGUGUUGGGCUACACACGUGCUACAAUGGUAGUGACA